This 460-nucleotide ribosomal RNA is filed under the name uncultured bacterium. RNAcentral describes it as "partial 16S ribosomal RNA". It matches the Rfam family "Bacterial small subunit ribosomal RNA", at positions 338 to 795 of the family's 1533-position model. The record is from RNAcentral.
CCUACGGGAGGCAGCAGUGAGGAAUAUUGGUCAAUGGCCGUAAGGCUGAACCAGCCAAGUCGCGUGAAGGAAGAAGGAUCUAUGGUUUGUAAACUUCUUUUAUAGGGGAAUAAAGGUAUCCACGUGUGGAUAUUUGCAUGUACCCUAUGAAUAAGCAUCGGCUAACUCCGUGCCAGCAGCCGCGGUAAUACGGAGGAUGCGAGCGUUAUCCGGAUUUAUUGGGUUUAAAGGGUGCGUAGGUUGUUUUUUAAGUCAGCUGUGAAAGUUUGCGGCUCAACCGUAAAAUUGCAAUUGAUACUGGCAGCCUUGAGUACGUUUGAGGUAGGCGGAAUGCGUGGUGUAGCGGUGAAAUGCAUAGAUAUCACGAAGAACUCCGAUUGCGAAGGCAGCCUACUAAGCCACCACUGACAUUGAUGCACGAAAGUGUGGGUAUCAAACAGGAUUAGAUACCCUUGUAGUC